RNAcentral lists this ribosomal RNA (399 nucleotides) under Triticum aestivum (bread wheat). RNAcentral's name for it is "partial small subunit ribosomal RNA". Lineage: Eukaryota; Viridiplantae; Streptophyta; Magnoliopsida; Poales; Poaceae. The record is from RNAcentral.
AUGAGGAGUUGUGUUCGGUGGCCUCACCUAGGGACCUCGUCAUCCGUUUCCGGCCAGGCACUUGGGUGCAUGCCUUCAUCGUUUGACUGUGCAGCGCCCUUCAAUCCAAGGCGAGGGGACAUGAGGAUCCUUUUGGCCAUGGAGCUUGUUGGUGCGGUGGUGCUUGUCUUCAAGGUGUUGGAAAUGGCAUGGCACUCUCUGCGGGCUAGUCUCCCCCCUCAAGUUGACUUUGUUCUCUGCUCCGGUUACCUGACCGUGGAUGAGGGCUCCAGGGACUCCAAGCAGUGCUCAAUUCUUUCUUUCGAUGUGUGCUUGUUGUUUUCUGGGGCUUUGUUGCUAUCCUCGGCACCGUUGUAUCUUGCCAUUUUCCUUGUUGUGUGGUUUAUUUAUUUUUUUUAG